UCUUUGGCCUGUAUGUCUGCUCCAGAUUCUAUCAGCGUGCUGGCAACAAGGUGCAGGCCCUCGGCAGCAGCGAUGUGGAGCGGCGUCCUCUGAUCGUAGUUCCUGCAGUUUGGGCUGAUCCCGAAUCUGAGCAGCUUCUUCAGCAGAUCGAUCCUGCCACCCCUGACUACUCUGCAGAGCAUUCACAUACCAAUGCAGUCCUGCCAUCGUAAUCUGAUUUACUCGGAUCUGCUCCUGCACUGAUUAAGCUUUUCAAACGAAAUAUAUCCCCAUGAUAUGCAGCAUUGUUUACUCCAAGGACUAGUUCUGAUUCUUGCUUUGCUAGCAGAUAUAUGCUAGUCAAGGAUUGCUUGUCAAUUCUCAGAAGGCUGCAAAGCUCACAGACUCUAACUGUGUAUGGCUGUGGAAUGUUGCAGAUCACCGCGACAUCGCCAACUAUGCCGUAAGGCCGCAGUUCUGAGAUGAUCUCUUCAGACCCAUCUUCCCCAUUGGCCACCUCUUCCUGUGACAG
This 511-nucleotide small RNA is filed under the name Oryza sativa Japonica Group (Japanese rice). RNAcentral describes it as "sRNA Os04g0445025". The record is from RNAcentral. Lineage: Eukaryota; Viridiplantae; Streptophyta; Magnoliopsida; Poales; Poaceae.